Molecule: long non-coding RNA, 17103 nt
Organism: Peromyscus californicus insignis
Lineage: Eukaryota; Metazoa; Chordata; Mammalia; Rodentia; Cricetidae
Exons: 3
Source: RefSeq, a predicted model, not a curated record
GAAUGUUCUCCCACUCCAUCCACAGAGGUAAAGUUAAUAUUCAUUUCUCUCCUUUAAGUUAUCAGAUUUUCUAUGCCCCUGUCAACUGGGAUGGAGUCAGAGGACGUUCCAGAGACAACGGUAAACAAAUGGAGCAGAUCUAAAAGGUGGAUGUCACAGAAUGUUCAGAGUGCUUCUACUUCUUGAUGAUCAUGAAGAUUACUGCAAGCAACUUGAGAAUGAAGACACCAUGACAAAGUGGUGACUUUAAUCAUCUCCCCCAAACCACAGCCUGGAAAUCAACUCCCUGUUGGUGGAAAUCAGACUCAACUAUAUGUCCCAAAGAUGCAAGCAGCAAUGUCUCCAGAGAACUUCAUGUAUCUUUCUCCCUCUGGUAUGACUUCUAAGUCUAAUGACUGAAUUUUAGUAGGUGACACAGCCACUGAGCUUGGUGGUGAUGUCCCCCCUAUACUUUCCAUCUCAAGAAAGGGGUGGUUUCAUGUUUUUCCUCCUAGGAUUUCCCUAAUGCCUUGCUCCAAAUCGGCCUUUCAGAUAUACUAAUCUCUGUAGAGUAGUCUCUUGCAUUGAGUUCUCUGUUAAGGGACUCAAUGGAAAGAUUCUAAUCUAUUCUAGAAACCAAAUUUCUUUUUGAAUUUUGCUGCUUUUGUUCCAUCAGUCAAAAGCAGAAAUUUACAAACUAAGGUUAUAGGAAAAAAUGAGACCCAAAGUUUCCAAAGUUUACCUUUUUUAUUAAAACCUAGUCAUAACUAUUUAAUUGUUUGAGCAGUUCAGCUAGGAACUUAACCCAUGUAGCACUGAUAGUCUAAUUCUCACAAGCACAGACUCUGAGCCCCACCUUUGAGGGAGGUCCUCAGAACACAUCUAUUCAAGCCGUAGCAUGGAGGACAAAUGCAAAGAGAAGACUUGUUCCCUCACAUGGACCAACAGCAACAAUCCUGUAGACCUAACUUCUAUCUGGUAGUCACACUUAGCUGCCAGGGACCCUACGGGAUUUCUGUUUAUUUUGUGAAGUGGUGGACUCAGCCAAUAAAAUGGUGUUAUCACUUGGUGAGCCACUAAGAAUUGCAACUUGAAAGAGAAGAGCUAAGCAACCUUCAUUCUAAUUCAAGCAAGAGGAACAAGGACACUCAAUGCCUUGCAUGUCUGGGAGGCUAAACAAAUGUUGUUAUUAAAAACUGACAGUGAUCCCUUUAAAAGUCAGCACCUGACACUGUUUUCUUGAGCCCUGACAUUUUAUGAUUGUACACAGUGCUACUAUGAGCUGUUUACAGAAUUCUGAUUGCUUCAAAAUUAUACUGGCAUCAUAGCUGUGAAGCUCAAGCCAGUAAAAUCCCAAAGCCUUCGUAACACUAGGAAAAAUCUUCUAGAAAUAGCUCUACUUCAGACAGCAGUGAACUUAUGACACUUACCCAAGCUCUUGGCCUGAGAAGACCUUUAAUAUCCUGGAUUGCAUAGCAUUAAUAUCUUUUCCUAGGAGCCCACUAACGUUAAAAAUUAUUUUCCCACUAUAAGCCAACCAUUGCUAGAAUUAUUUGGAAAAUAUAUGGCUAUAAGAAAUCUGAUUAUAUUAUAUUAAUAGAAAUAGCCAAGCAUUUUGAGUAAUUUUUCCUUCCCCUUUCAGACACCUCUCUUUUUAUUCAUAAUUAUAGUCAGAGUCUCCAAAUAUUCAUAAAAGCUGGAUACAAGUAAUAUUACCAUGAGAGUCAUUUACAAUCUGCAGUAAGACACUCUUUUAAUUCUAGGAUGCUUGAGUUUCCAGACUCUGAGAUUUCUCUUUAAAGUGCUGUAGCCAUGUCCUAGAAAGCAGACACAGGCUGACUUUUAAGAGAACAGCUGCAUAAUCACUCCUCUCCUUCCAAUUCCGUUUCCUGUCCAACAUAAAACUAGAAUUACCCAUACCUACAUGACCAUUGAAACUUUUAUUCAAGAGAGAAAGCAGCACAGUGACAUUUUCAGCCUAAAUCUGAAGGUACAGUUAGUCCUUUCUGAUCUGUGAGGGCAACUGCACAGUAAUGUCUCUGUUCUGGAAACUUGAAAAUAUUCUAAAUUGGUUGGUUUCCUGGGGUCAUUCUUUAUCUCUACAGUCCCUGUGCCUUCUUCUUCUGAGGCCACGUAGCACUCAUUGUAGGACAUCUCAGUAGGCACUGGCAUGCUGAGUGACUAGAUUCCACAGCUAAAGAGCUGUGAAGGGCUCUCCAGUCUCCUCAGGGCUCCUACUGAAUGUACACAAAAACAGUUGGAGUGGAAAUAGACUCCUUAGUCUUACCAGAGGAUGACAUAACUAGACAAGGCCUGGCAUGCUACACCCCAUGAAUGAAGCAACCUUGCCUUUGUCUUUCCCAGACACUCCUAAUGCAUUUUUCACAUAGGUUGGUAUCUUAGAAUGAAAUAACAUUUUCAACUACAGUCGUCCUUCUCUUCUGGUUAUGCUUUAGUAAAUAUAACUUGUAUGGUCAUCAUAUGUGGUGGUUUGAAAGAAAAUGGCCCCAAAGGGCAUGACACUAUUAGGAGGUGUGGUCUUGUUGGGGGAAGUGUCACUGUGGGGGUGGGCUUUGAGGUCUCCUUUAUUCAAGCCUCCCUCAGUGUGACUCUAAAAUCACUUUCUGAUGCUGCAAGUCAAGGCUUACUUGUCUACUUCUCCAGCACUAUGUCUGCCUUCACACCACCAUGUCACACCAUGAUGAGAGUAGACUGAAACUCUGAAAAAUGCUGCCACCUCAAUUAAAUGCUUUCCUUUGUAAGUUUGGCAUGGUUAUGGUGUCUCUUCACCACAAUAGAAACCUUAACUAAGACACUAUAGGAGGACAGAUAAUCAGCAUUGUAGUAUACUCCUAUCAAUACAGAAGGGUAUAUUCAGCAGUUCUUGAACAACAGGACUUUUUCAGGUAGAAGAAAAAAUGUAUAGCAGUCAAUAUGAGCAUUAACUACUUUCUUAAUUGCUGAAAAACCCAACAUAAAGGUUAGAGGACAAAUAACAACAACAGAAACUUAAAGCAUAUCUUAAUAUGUACUUCAAUAAGAAUGGGUGGAAGGAAGGGCUAUGUGUCAGAACACUACUCUCUGUUGAAUACCUACUGAAUUGUAGAUAGACAGUACUCUAGAAAUGAGUUCAUGAUCAUUCUGUCUCUUUGCGCUUGACAGCAACAUACUGUUUCCAAGAUGAGGAAGAUGAAGCAGCUUGCUAAGCUACCUUAGCUAAUAAGUGAAUAACCUGCAGGUAAAGCAUGUUAGCCAUAUAGGAGAAGUAUCUGGCUAGGGAGGGGCAGGAAGGAAUGUGAAGGCUGACCUUAAUGUGAUUUAGGAAUUAGAGGCUUUGAACAAAUAUCUGAUUAUCAUGUCAAGCUAUAAUGGUAUGAUGAACCUCACAGGCUGAGGGGAUAUGAAGCUGGAAAAGGUUCCCAUUGGGGAACCACUUCACCUCCAUCUGCAUUGCACAUAGGCUGGGUACCUGAUAUAGCUCUCAUUUGGUAAUGAAUUGACUGUUCACCAAAGAAAAAUGGAUAAUGAAACUUGAAGUUGAAGCCACAUGGUCUCAAUUCAAAACAAGAACUCAGAGUUUGAGAAGACAACAUGACGUUAUCAAAGACCAUAGUCCUAGAGAAGACAGCUAGGCAUCAAUCAAAUGAGCCUCAUCCAAAGGGUUGAAAGAAGAUAAAAGAUCAAUGACAGCAGGCUUGUAGUCAGUUUAACUAUGCACCAUCUUUUAGACAAAUGGCAUUCAUGUGGAUACUACUCUGUUCGUUCAUAAUCAACUACAGUGUGAACAAGCACAUGUGCUUAUGUUCCCCAUUCUGCACAGAUCGUAUCCCCUGUUAACUACCUUGAACAAGGAAUGUAUCAUCUGAGAAUGCCUGUCCUCUGGUUUUACCAAACUAGAAUAUAUCUUUGUUUCUCAACUUAGAAAUCUAAACUCUGUCUCUAACUGUGCUAGGAAGGUGUGGGGGGCUAUGUGUUAGAUAUAUGCACACAUGUGUGAGCAUGCAGGGGUCAGAGGGUAUCCUGCUCUACCCCUCUCUACCUUAUAACCUUGAGACAGGGUUUCUCACUGAGCUCAGGUUCUCUUGUACAGCAAGUAUUCUUACCCACCAAUUCAUUUCCUCAGUCCCAAGAUUUAAAUGAAAGGAUAAAUGUUAACCUCAAAUGAGCAUCAUUCUAGUCUCACAGCAUUAGACAAAUUGCCUAACCUGUCUGGACCUCAAAGUCUGAAUCAUUUAAAAUGAGUGGCUGUUCUUGUAGAGAAGAAAAAUUAAUAAGUUUCUGAUGUUCUGGGCUACUACUCUCAAUUGCUUUGGGGAAAAAAAUACUAUGUGUGAGGCUGUAAAUGUGUGCAUUGUGUUAGUAAGACGUGUUCCCUACAAUUGAAAUCAAAUUUGCUCUUCCAUAAUCUAUAGGGUAUUAUUUUGAAGAAUAUCUUGGAAUGUGAUCAGAAACUUAGAAUUUUGAUGUACCACUAUUUUAAAUUUAACAUUUUACCUUUACAAAUACAUUAAUUAAAGAUGCUGUUCUCAAAGUAAAAAUAAUAAAAUAAGUUGUCCCACAUAACACCAAAAUGCAAGAUUUUAAGUAAGUAUAUGUAAAAAUGCUUAACCCUUACAAAAUGUCAAUUUUAUUUGUUCUUAUUACUUCUGAACUUUUAGAGAAUUGACUGAGUUUCUACUUAAAAAACAAGUACACUUCCAAAAAGCAGGAUUCUCUCUGACAGGAACAUACUAACAAGCAAUGAUUUUACUCCCAGAGUGCAGGUACAUGCCUGUAUUUUCCAUAAGAUACGAGUAGAGAAAUUUGCUCUGUCUGCUGUUUGUACUUGUUGAAAAAUAACAAAGAAGCAGAUGGGUGUCAUCCAUAAGUAAUGCCGAUCACAAGUGAGCACUCUUCAAAGGACCUUCUAAUCAGUGUAAACAUAAAUCAGAGCAGCUAGGUGCAAAGGUGGAGUUACACCAGCAAGGGCCCAGGUGACCUCUAAAGAGGCACUGGAUACAGUCUUCCCUCAAGUGUUUUCACUUUCAGACAAAAUUCGACAUCACAGUGAGGCCUCAAAGGCUUAUUUACAAAAUUCUUUUAAUGGCACCUACACUCUAUAACCAUAGACAAGAUUAUGAGUACUUGAAUAUUGCCUAGCACCAUGCUUUGUGUCCACAGUAUUGGCUCUCUUGCCUCUCAAUAAAAUUCAAGAGUUGCUCAGUUUAUGAGCUAUAUAAGCUCACAGGGCCCAAUGAGCUCGUGUCUUCGGUUUUUGCUUAGCCUCAGGUGUUUGGUGUAUAGGUUGUUUACCUGAAAUUUAUCAUUUGCAUAGUGGGAAAAUAAAUGUCACUGCUUUUGAGAAAUAUGUUAAAACUAUGAGGAACUGGCCAGCCAUCACAGAUUCAGUAUUGCUGAGUGCCCACUGUGACAACACAGGCAUGCACUAAGUUCAGCAGGACUGUAAUGGUCACUCAAGGCAUCUCUGCCCUUUGCCUUUUAUUUUUCUUGAAUUCUCAUGGGGGAAAAUGUAAAAAAAAAAACCUAACCCCUCGAAUCUUUAUAUCUUUUAUUGUGGGUGCUAAAUGGUCUUUUUUUUUUUUUUCUGUGUAGAUAUGAAAAAGAUAUGGUCUCGCUUCUGGUGAGAUUUGCUCUGUGGGAGAGGAGCUGAAAUAACAUUCUGAACGCAAAUAGACUACAAAUAACUUGAGCCCUUUGAAAUCACUCUUUCGAUAUUGAUUCACUCCAAGGAUGAAAGCCAGCUCUAGGCAGAACCAGACCUGUGGAUGCAGAAUUCGUGGGAAGCCUGAGAUCUCUGGGAAACUCAAGCUUCCACAGGCACUUAGCAGAAUGCCCACGAGCUAGGCAUACUUUAGCUUCAUGCUAGCCCUUGAAAGGUUUUCAAUUUAUUCUGGACAGAGUGCCUCUCAUUUUCAGAUGACAAGUUUGGGAAAGAGGAUGAAAUAAUUACUACCUUAGCUGUGAUUAGUUGCUUUAUAUGUUUCACAUCUUAACUAAACAUGUUUGUAUUUGAAGCUUACACACACACACUGAGAUGGUGUCUUUGUUUAAGUGGAUUGGCUCCUGUUAACAAGGAGAAACAGAGUGUGAACUUCUCAGAGAGCUGCCAGUAGGAGCCCCUCUGUAGAACCAGGAUGUGGUCAGCUGUUCAUUGACACCUACUCAACACCACUGCAACUUGUCCCACCGCUUCUAAGGUAAAGGUAGAAACACAGCAGACACCAGUGUCAGGAUGGGUAAUAACUCAUGCUAGAAACACAUGACAGAAACUGAUGCUGGAAUACAUGGCACUGACAGAGAAGAAGUCCAAGUUGGAGCAAGUGAUAAAAUGAAGUAGUACAUUAUGAUUCCGUUUAGAAAAACAUUUCUAUGCUCCAAACGUGUUUGCAAGGAUGAAUGAAGGAUGCCCCCCCGCCAAAAAAAAAAGAAAAAAAAUUAACUGCACACGUGAUCUCCUCCGGUGUGAAAAGGUGCUAGAAUGCUUGACAGUUAGCAGCUUCACUGUCUGUCAAAUGAUGGAAUAAGAGCAUCAUCUCCCUGGUGGUCCAGUGCUCCCCCAUUAUCACACACCACAGUCUUAGUCAAGGUGCCUCGUAGUUCCUCUCAGUGUGUUUUUCAAAGAAUGACAAGAUUUUAAAUAAAUCAAACUGUUAUCAAGCUAGACUGGGUACCUGGAGUAUUCACACCCGCUGAAUCUCCUGUACUUUGCCACUACCCUAAAAAUGAUACAGUCAUAUGAAAAGUAGUAUCUUUUCUGCAUAAAUUCUGGAGGUGCAGAAGAACUGAAUAUGCACAGGUUCCACGAAAAGCAGAAACUGAGACUUUCUCAUGGCAAAACUGGGAUUUUCAUGCCACUUUACAUGAUUGUAAUGAGGGCUCAGCAAGUGUGCCCAGAUCACCCAUGCAGCACCUAUGUCUAGGUUCAGGUUAUACAGAAUUUAAAUCUGAAUCCAACAUGAUUUACAUUCAGGCUCAAUCAUACGAAGGCACAUAUUUAUGGAGGAAAAGGACCUCAGCCAAAACUCUGCUUAUCAAGGCAAAAACAUAGGAAGGACAUGUAGUAAUAAUUUGCCAUCUUCGUAAGAAAGCUCUCCCCUUAGGAAUUGCAUGACCCCCACCUCAGUCCUCAUUGGCCACAGCAAUGUGUCCUCCCUCCUCUUUCCUCAUCUGUUCCUUAGGCUGUAUGAGAGAGUCUUCUCUAAAAUUCAUUAACCUGGGAUGUCUUUAAUGAACUGUGCAAAGCAGACUAACUCCCACUUUUGGAAGCUCACAAUACUGGUACUUUAUUCUCCAAGGCAAAGACAAGAAUUAUAGUUUUUUUUUCUUUUUCCUUUUCCCUCCAACUGUCCAGCCCUGAAUGAGACGUGAAAGCCAGUGUCCCAAAUGAGCAGAACUAGCAUGGAUGACUUUGGGUUGAUGAUGGACAGAAUGGGACAGACAGCCUUUCUUCUUCCAGAUGCUGCCACUGACAUGGGUCUAGCAGCAGUGAUCUUGCCUAGCAUAUGGCAUAUUGCAAGCAGAUUUGGGGUCAUACAGGACAGAAAGCAAAUUAGUCACUUUGUUUGCAAAUCUAUCCUAGUCAUUGUUUUCUGGUGUGAUCUCCCAUCAUGAACUGAAGCCUCCUGAAAAUUGUCUAAGCCAUCUGACAUCCAAAAAUGUUUCUGUUCUGCUGAGAUGAAGCAGAGCUAAGUGUUACAGCUCAUGCAGGCGACUGUUUCUUGUAAAUUUUAUAAAAGUAGAUUUAUGUUAAAAACUCAGAAAAGACAGUUCAUAAAGGCAGAAAUCAGCUAGGGGUUACUGGGUAAAAAGAAGACAAAACAGUAGCUACAGUUAAUGGGCACUAGUUCUUUCUAGGGAUGAAAUAUAUAUGUUAACUUCAAUUGACCGAUAAUUGUACACAUCUAUGGAAACCCUGCUAUUUUCCAUAUGUAAUAACUGAAUAUGGGUAAUUAACAUGCCUGUCACUUCAAACAUUUAUUAUCUCUGCAUUGGUGGCAAGCAUAAUUACUUCUACUUGGCCAUUUUGAGAUAUAUAAGUUGUAUCAGUCCAUUGUAGUUAUCGUGGGUGAUCAGGAGUUAAAAGUUGUUUCUUCUAACCAAAUGAGCUACUAUGUCUAUCCUAUAGACAGCAUGCUCUCACUUCCUCAACCUUCCAAGUCUCGGGUAACUGCCACUCUAGUCUCCCAUUCUACACAGUCAAUUUAUUCAUCUUCUAUGAAACAUUCAGUCUUUCAUUACCUGUCAUAUCUUAAUUCAUACAGUAUCUACCUAGCUCAUCAGCUGAUCCUGGUUGUUGCUCAUGAAAGAAUUUCAUUCUUUGUUAUUGAUUAAUAGUAUUUCAGUGUGUGUGUGUGUGUGUGUGUGUGUGUGUGUGUGUGUGUGUGUAUUUCCUUUAUCCAUUUAUUAGUUGAUGGAUCCUGUUUGAUUCCAUUCCUGAACUAUCAUGCAUAGAGCUGUAAAGAAUGUGGGAGCACAAAAGUCUCUUCAACAUCCAAUUUUCAUACCUUUGAAUAUAUUCUCACUAGUGGGAAUACUGGUUCAUAUGAUAGAUUUGUCUCUGGGUUUUGAAGAAUCCCCAUAUUGUUCUCAGUAAAGCCAACACCCGAUCUACAUUCUCUUGCUGCAAUGCACAAAAAGGCAGAGAGAUGACAUUGCUCAAUAUUGCAUGCUUCCAAGUCCUAGAAUAGUUUCCAAACAUAAUAUUUUGAAAACUUAACAUAAGUCAGUGAUCAGUCGCCAAGUUCUUAUUUUAUUGUUCUUUGACCACAUAUCAACCAAAUGACUCAGGGUACUAUACCUGUUCUCUUUAUGUGUUUCCCAAAUUAACCAAUAGUAGAAAAUAGUUUAGAAGUUCUUAGUAAUGUUAGCCAUUUGCUUAAAACUGUGACUCUUUCAGAAAAAAAAUUCUAUCUACUUCAUAGCAUUAUGCCAAGCCCUCUCUUCAUUUCUCCUACCACUUGUUAUGGUUUCUGCUUCUCUUCACCUGACUCUUAGGAGGCAGCUGCAGAAAAGGAGAAGGUACCUACUUAGUCAUGUGGACACAAUGUGAUAAGAACAUAGACCUCUUCCUUCUUGUCUGAGUCUCACGCAAGAGCUGUCUCAGAGCAGCUGGUGUUCUCUACACAUGUAUGCUCAUUUUCUGGCAGUGGCUCCAUCAUAUGGCAUGUUAGAUGGUGUCAAGCACCCAAAUAGGUUAUGAGAGUGGGCUCCAGUAAUUAGCACCCUCAGUCUGUUUGACCCUAGUCUCUGUACCCCCUGAAGAUCAGGAAGGCCUUUUAUCACUCACACACACUCAGUCAGACCCUGAUACAGCAGUGCUAAGAAGGGCAGCCAACCUUUCCUAUGAAUCAGCAGACUUUGUAAUCCUCAAGAUGCUGAAAGUCCAAGUCAGCUCUACCCAGGAUACAUAUCUGGGUUUUUGUCUCAGCCCACCUAAUUGCAUAUCUGUGCCAUCUUUCAGGCCUAGGAAGUUCUAAUGCCCACAAUUUCUAAAAGAGACCUGCAGCAUUCAUCAUUUUUGCUGAGGAUCCUGGUUGACCCUCCCAGAAGAGUGUCUAAGUCCCCUUGCUUCUGAUUCUGCAGCUGGAAUCAAGUAGGAAGUGGGAAGUGGUUCUUAGUGUGACUUCUGCACCGAUAAUAUCUUCAUCAUCUAACACUGGUUUGAAACACAAACCAUGGACACUGCAGAGACAUACAAAACAAGAUUCUUAACAGUAUCCCAGCAGACACCAUUAUAAUCAACCUGGCCAGCAGUGUAGCCAUUCUCUAAGAUUUGAGAACCUCAAACCUAAUUUUUCAUCAAUCUCUUCUCUAGUUAGUGCCUGUCCCACAACAGACAUCUGUUUCUUCCAAUAUAGCCUCUUAUCCAAGUUCCACCCUGCCUAUGUGAAGAAUUACUUUGCCCCUUAAUGUCAAUAGCUUGGUCUUAGAAAUUUGACUGGGUAAGGCAGGAGUCAAGAAAUGACAGACACUGAAAAAAAUGACAGUUUACAUACAGCAAACCUGGGAUCAGCUGGGCUAUGCUCACUCUUAAAGAGGGCACUUACCAGGAAACCGUUGUGUUUAAUAUGUCCAGUACAAAGAGGAAGGGUAGUCAGUCUCUUAGUGGGAGGUCUCUGAAGGGGAACAGACUUGGAUGGUAGCCAUACAGGAAUAGGAAGAUGCUAGCAUCCAACAGUCUCUAUAUACACUGGUCAGUCACUCAUAAACACACAUACUUGGACCAGAGGAAGGCUUUGCCAUCUGUCAUGCCUCUGACCCUCAACCAGAAAAUGCUUGUCCGAGUCAUGGGGCUAAAGCGUUGGGGUCCUUGCUCAUGUCAAUAGUACACAUUCAUUCAGGGCUUCAUCUGCUUAUCAAGACUUGAAUCUUGGUAAUUAGAAAGGAUAGACCUUGGAUUAGGUCUGAUUUGAACUUGAUCAUGUACAUUACUCAGUACCUGUAUGCAUGCAGUAUACCUAUUCCCACAUGUACGUGUCUACAUACUGUACACAUGUUAAAGUGACAGAUAAUAGAGAAGCAAGGCUCAUUGUCUCAAGCUACUAUCACAAAUUACUUUUCUGUCCUCCCAAUUGCAUCUGAGAAGUCUCACCUUUACUGCUUUUGUUCUUUAACUUGAUCCAUACCAUUUUAUUGGAAACUACCUGGAUAUUCCACAAGUUAUCUGAGCUCCAAGAGACCUCAAGAGAACCUAAACAGAGCUCCCUUCCUCCCAUCACCUCUUGGAUUCUGUGUGACACCCUAUCCUUCCUGUUGGAGACUUGGGUAUAUAUAAAUGGGUAAUGAUAAAGGAGGUGAGCACAUAAGACUGGUAAAGACUCAUUGCUAUAUUUAUCCCAGAAAGCUUCCAGGGGACAAGCAUCUCUGAGCCUCAUGGAGAAGCUGUUACCUGGGCCCUUUGCCUUCCCUGCAGAUAUAGCUCCUUUCAAAAAGUCUGCUACAGGAGAACGGAGUGUGACUUUGCUGCAUUUCAUAGUGAAAUAGAGAAGCACAAAGAAUGGGUAUUUGGUUUAAUCAUUCAUGAUGAAACUGGAGCUUUAAUGUGGCUAACAGAAUGUCAGCAAGCAUUAAGUCCUGAGAGCCCUUAGGCUGGGGUUGGUUAGUGCCCUUGGUAAUCUCCUAGGGCUUUUCAAGCACCAAAAAAACUAAUUUAAAUUGCAACAUGAUUCAAGAGGUAGAAACAGAAAGUUGAAAUAAGCCUUUUGGAUCUUGUAACUGCACAAAACCAUUGUACGUGAAAAGUACAGAGAAAAACAAUUGGAAUCAUUUCAGGCUUUGAAAACUUAUAAUUACAGGUAAAUGGCUAUUAUGUUAUUGGAAUAGCCAUUAUAACUGAAAGGUACAAUUUGGGAUAAUAUAUGUGGGGACAUUAAUACACCAUCAGAAUUUUACAGCACAAGCAUCACAAUGCAUCCAAUUUCAAAUUAGAGGUUACUUCCCUGGUUUUUUUCUUGAUUCUCUGCUUCUAUUUUUAAGUAGAGCAUUCAUGUGAAAUAAUGACAUCAUUUCAAAAAAUCAUAAUAAUUUUUGGCUAUGCACUAUUCACUAUCAUUUAAAAGUCUUCAGGUCUUUAACACUAUAGGAAAAUAACAAAAGUCAAAAUUACCCAUCAGUACAUUCUCCACAUGACUGUCACCUCUAAGUUACUUAAGCUAAUGGAACAGCACAAGCAACAUAGACUAUCCAGGCUGAAUAAAAUCUAAAAAUCAACUUUAUUUACAUUUAGAAUUUGCAUUUAAAUGCAAAUGCAUUUGAUACUUUGGACGUCUGCUGAAACUGGAUUAAGCUUCUCAGCAAGGGUGAGAAAACAUGAACAAAAUAGGAAAACAUGAGCCAUAUAAAGGGCCAACAAAAUAUUGUCUGGACCAUCAGUUGGUUGUUUGAUGAAAUCUUUAGCAACCUUGACCUCUACAUGACUGAAAGUUCUAGCUACCAUGACAUUGUCUCAAAGACAAUCAGAAUGGAAGAAAAGAAAGAGAGAGAGAUAGGUGGAGUUCCACCAGGAACUAAAUCCACCUGUGAAACAGGCCACCUAACCACGGGGCUGCUUUCCUUUGCCACACAUGCUGCACAGAUGCCACAUGAUUGAAGACUCAGCAGAAGAUCUUGAAGUCCAUGUGUUCUCCCUAUAGAGACUUUUUUGGGGUUUCCUAGCCCUCCUCAGCUACCUCAGAAUCUACAGCUAUGUAGACACUUGUCCUACCUUGGAAGUAACUGAAAAAUGAAUAACAGCAAUUCAGCAUUUGCUUGAAGUUUUAUUUUGAGCUGGGGUUAAUUCUGGGUCAAGUUGCAAGUUGUUUGUUCCUUUAGCAAGCUCACUUUCUAGAUGAAGAAAUUUCAACUCAGCUCAGUGCUUCACUGUUAGAACUCUCCAGGAAGUUUUAGUUAUAUCAUUCAACAUGGCUGCAGAUUGUGGUGAUAUUGUGUCCCUCAAUAUAUUAUGCACCCUAAUAAACUUAUCUGGGGUCAGAGGACAGAACAGCCACUAGAUAGACAUAGAAGCCAGAAAAUGGUGGCACACACACGUUUAAUCCUAGCAUUCCCGAGGCAGAGUUCCAUCCAGAUUUCUGUGAGUUCAAAGCUACACUGGAAACAGCCAGGCAUGUUUACACAUGCCUUUAUUUAUUUAUUUAUUUUUUUUUUGAGACAGGGUUUCUCUGUGUAGCUUUGCGCCUUUCCUGGAACUCACUUGGUAGUCCAGGCUGGCCUCGAACUCACAGAGAUCCACCUGGCUCUGCCUCCGGAGUGCUGGGAUUAAAGGCGUGUGCCACCACCGCCCGGCUACACAUGCCUUUAAUCCCAGAAAGUGAUGGCAGGAAGCAGAAAGGUAUAUAAGGUGUGAGGACCAGGAACUAGAGUCUUUUUAAGCUUUUAGCUUUUAGCAACAGUUUAACUGAGACCCUCAGGGGUGAGGACUCAGAGUCUUUCAUUCUGAGGAUUCAUGGAGACAGGAUUGGCUGAGCAGAUGGUGAGUGGGGUUCCCUAAGACCUGAGCAGAAGAAUUUAGAGAAACAUCUCAUUUAAAGCAAGGUGGGACUGAAGAAACCUUCUGACUACAUUUGGCUGCCCAACAUGUUGGCUUGAAUUUCCACCUAAAACUUGAGAGAAUUUAAAAAGAAAUUCUAAAAUUGAGCUAAGAACAGCUUUCUACCUCAUGUUUCAUGCAGGCUGAGAUAUAGAGACACCAAGGUACAGAGAUGCUGUGGCAUGCGGACUUGAACUACAGUAUGGCCAGUUCAUGGUGUAUGGGCUUGAGUGCAGCAUGGCAGAUUCCUGCCAGGGUACACAGAGCUAUCUUCAACCCAUGAAGCACACUGCAUGAUGGAUUUAGCUUUUACUUAUACAGAUAAAAAGAGUUUAUGGGCCAGCUGCAUGCUCCCUGAUGGCAGCAUGGACCCCAGAGUUAGUGGGGUAACCGUGACUAUCCUGGGUACAUCCACCAUGUUGAAAAGCUCAGGUGGGUGGAGUCAGCAUCCAAGGCUGCUGGUCCUAGCCACACAGCUUAGCAGUUUAAAUCUCCUCUGGUCUAAGAAGGAUUAUAGAUUCACAAUGAGACAGAUUCAGAUGGAAUAAAACUCUAAACAAUUUACAGUGUGUGUAAAAAUGUACAUAGGCUUGGAAGAGAAAAGAAAAGGAGGAUAGACAGUUAUAUAAAGAAAUAUUUUUAAAAAAUAAAGUCUUUAAAGAGACAAUAAAAACAAUAUAAAACAUAAGCCACGUAAAGAUGGAAAUUACACAGAGAAUCUGGAUUAUAUUGUCUUCAGGAUUUUUAACUGCAGAAAUACAUUUGAUUAUAAAGGCUGCUGAGUUAAACCAAUAUAUAUAUUUUAAAGGUAUUUUGACUUCAAAAUUCGUGUUUAAGGAUCCCUUGCUUUGGAAAAGAGGUUCUGCUUUUGUUUCCACAGAAGAUGAGAACCUGUGGAUUGUUUCUAGGCUAAUAUGGCUUGACUAGCCAAGACCCCCUGAGAGGUUUCCAGAUGACCUAACAUCCAGAACAGCUUCAAAGCAACUAGCUCAGACAUACUCACAGACUACACCAGUCAGGACUUGACCAUAAUUAUUAAUUUUCUCAGUAUACCCAUGAGAUUACAGCACCCCCAACCAGCAGGAAGUAGUAUGAGAAGCUAUGUCCAAAUUCCCAAGAUAUUGUUUAUGAAUGUUUAUUUUUAUUUAAAGCAGUUUGAUUAUAAAUGCAAUCUCUUUUUAAGUCAUCCAUGAUAAUCAAACUUAUAGUCAUGUUAAUUUAAUUUCCUAGGUAUUCAUAGAUAUAUUUCAAUUAAGUAGGUAAUCUUCAAACACUUCAAAGACCUACAGAAUAUGGCAUUUAAAAUGUUUUAAAAACUUAGACUUUCUGGACAAUGAGACACGUCUGGUCCUGGCAGCACCAAUUUACUUCAGAGAGGAGGAUGGGCAUCAAAGACAGUCCAUAUGGAGUUUAUCUUCUUCUUGGCAAAAAUAGCCAUUUGGGCAAGAGGCUUCUCUUGCCUGACUGCUGAUAAUAUGUUGUAUAAACUGUACAUGCAGGACCCAUAGGAAAAUGAACACUGAAUUUGCCAAAAUGGGGCAAAAUGGUUCUUUAGGUUCCUGCUUUGCAGAGACUGCCAAAUAUUCUACAGGACACAGAGAGAAGUGACUGAAAAAAUGCUAGGCUUAUUAGCUGAAGAUGGAUGUCCCAACAUUACAGAGGAACUUUGGGUCCAGGCAGCCAGUUGUCUCUGUCAUUUCCAGAAUUUUUGGAAGCUGCUUACAAUGCACUUCUUGUUUAGUUAUGGAAUAUUAUAUCCUUCUGAAGUCUUCGAUGUAUUUGAAGACUAUAUAGUUAUAAUUAUGGUUUUCCUUGGUUAUGAUAAGAGAUAAGGUAGAUAUGAAACUUUAGACUCACAAAUAUAGGAUAGAUAGAAUAUUUUCUUUAAUUUUACAAAAUACAAACAGACUAGAUAUUGUAACAGUAAUUCUUGUUUGUUAUAUAUAAUUUUACUAUGUUAAAGUUAAAACCUUCCUUUUUAAUUAAACAGAAAAGGAAAAAUGCUGUGGGAUAAUGCUUUUGUGCACUGGUUUAAUAAAAUGCUGAUUGGCCAGUAGCCAGACAGGAAGUAUAGGUGGAAUAAGCAGACAAGGAGAAUUCUGAAAAGAGAAAGGCUGAGUCAGGAGACACCAGCUGCCAUCCAGGGAGCAGCAUGUAAUGGCACACAGGUAAAGCCAUGGAACACACGGCAACAUAUAGAUUAACAGAAAUGGGUUGAGUUUAAAUGUAAGAGCUAGUCAGUGGUAGGCCUGAGCUAAUGGCCAAGCAGUUUUAAUUAAUAUAAGCUUCUGUGUGCUUACUUGGGUCUGAGCAGCUGUGGACUGGGUGGGACACAGAAAAACUCCAGCUACAGCAGAUAUACCCAGUCUCUGUGAUCGAAAUUCCAAACACUGCAAUAUACAAGCCUCCGUGAUCCUGGAAGGGCUGACCUGAAUUGGGUUUUGCUCUUACAUUUGUUUUUUGCAUUUCCUUGUGUUAGAUGGAGUGCUGAAAACUUUGCUUGGGUGGCUUUCUCAAAAGAUGGUGCUUUUUGUGUUGUUUGGAAUAAGAAAGAGAAUUGUGGCAGCAACAGUCUUAAUCAUGCAAAUCAGAGUAAUGAGAAAUUAACAAAAAAUGGAGAAAGGAUUGAGAAUGAUAAUAAUAAUGUUGCUGAGAACUGAAAUGAUUUUGCGUUUUUAAAGGUAUAUUUAUCAUACAGCGAUCUUUUUUGAAUAAAUUGAAUAAGAAGUCAUUUUAUUUAUAAUAAUAUAUUUUCUUCCUAUAAGAAAUUUUAUAUGCAGACAUACAAAGUAUUUUGACAACAAUAGUAAAUUAACUUGUGCAUAGUUAUCUUGAACUAUAUAGAUUCAUGGAUGGUGAGACAUAAUCUUUGUGAAGCAAAUAAACUUAGAAGUGGGCUUUAGGGGUAUACACUAAACACAUAAUAUAUACUUGCAUUAAAUAUUCUUGUGUAACAUAGUACCAUAUACAAUGAAUACAUACAAUGUUCAAGUUUUCCUUCUGUCCCUUUGACAAAAUAGUCUAAUCAAAACCAACUUGGGUUCCAUGUCACAGCCUAUCAAUGAAGGAAGUUAGAGCAACAACACAAGCAGAAGCAGAGGCAGGAAUCAUGGAGGAAUGCUUCUUGCUGGCUUUUUCCUCAUGGCUUGCCCAGCUUGGUUUCUUAUAACACCCGGACUACCUCCUGCACAGUAGCACUACCCAUAGUGAGAUGCAGUCUUCCACAUCUAUCAUUAAUGAAGAAAAUGCCCCCACAGACUUGCUUACCCAUGGUCUAAUGGAAGUAAUCCCUCCAUUAAGGUUUCCUCUUCCCAGAUUAAUGUAGCUUGUGCCAAGUUAACAAAACAAACAAGCAAAAACCCAGUACAUAUAAUAUUUUUUUUAAUAAAUAAGAAGUGGAGAGAUAACUCAGUAAACUUUUUGUUGUAUGUGCAUGAUGGUGUAAUACCAAAAGUAGUGGUGCAGGCUUGGAAUCUCAGUACUGGAGAGAAGAAGAAGGCUGGCCCUUUGAGCCUUGACUGGAAACUAAUGCAACCUAAUAGUUGAGCCUAAGACAAGUGAGAGACCCUAUCUCCAAAACCAAAAUGCAUAGCUCCUGAGGAACAAGACCCAAAGUUGAUGUGUAGCCUCCACAAACAACAGCACACAUGCAUGCACUCAUAUGAAUAUAUGAAUAUGCACCUACCCACACACACAAAAAAUAAUAAAAUAAAAGAUAAAAUAAAAAUUAGAGCUGAGGAUGUAGUUUAGUGAUAAAACACUUGCCUACAAUACUCACGACCCUGGGGUUUGAUGCCUAGCACAGAAAAAAAUAUUAAAACUAAAAACAAUAAAUACCAGUAUAUGAAAAACAAAAUUCAAAACUAAUAGCACUUAAAAGUGGCUUUGAUGUUCUGUAUCAAAAAUGUAUUGGAAAUACUGACUAUAAAGAACAGAAGACAAGUUGAAGGCAGUCAUCAGUGGGAAUAUUUACUGUUCUUACAACUAUUGGUGUUGGGAAUAUUCAAUGAUAAUCUUUCUAAAUAUGAUCAUGCGCUAUGUGGAAUGUAUAAGUUGCAAAUCAAAAGUAUUUCAACUUGCCCGACAUAGGAUGUGCCUGU